CAAGCGGUGGAUGAUGUGGAUUAAUUCGAUGCAACGCGAAAAACCUUACCUACCCUUGACAUGGUCGGAACCCUGCUGAAAAGCGGGGGUGCUCCAAAGAGAACCCAAACACAGGUGCUGCAUGGCUGUCGUCAGCUCGUGUCGUGAGAUGUUGGGUUAAGUCCCGCAACGAGCGCAACCCUUGUCCUGAGUUGCUACGCAAAAGCACUCAAAUGAGACUGCCGGUGACAAACCGGACGAAAGUGGGGAGGAGAUCACGUCCACUCGGCCCUUAUGGUUAGGGCUUCACUACUCAUACGAUGGUCGGAACAGAAGGCUGCCCUCCCGUGAGGGGGAGCUAAUCCCAUAAAACCAAUCGUAUUCCGGAUCGUAUUCUGCAACUCGACUACGUGGAGCUGGAAUCGCUAGUAUUCGCAUAUCAGAAUGCAACGGUGAAUACAAUUCCCGGGUCUUGUACUCACC
Molecule: ribosomal RNA, 462 nt
Filed under: uncultured bacterium
Lineage: Bacteria
Description: bacterial SSU rRNA
Rfam family: Bacterial small subunit ribosomal RNA
Source: RNAcentral